UCCUCCUGGAGGAAAUUUUUUUUUUCAGAUGUGCAUCAGUGAUUUUAAUAAAGAAAAACAUGGUUCUGAGAGGAAAUAGCUCGCUCAUGUGUAGUCGUUUAAACAAAGCAAUGUGAGGUUUAGCUGAGGGUAAGGAUUGCAACUGUGGAGAGCACCUUGUCUUCGGUACAGUUCAGGGUCUCUCCAUUCUUAGGCACAGAUAAGCCUUGUUCUUGCUUCUUUUUAGGAGGAAUAUAGCCACUGAGACGAGAGGCAAACUCCGUUUUUCACCAGAUCGUUUUACUUUGAGCUUCCUCUUGUCAGGGUCAUGCACAACAGCAUGCCUAGUGAGACUUUGUUUCAUUGCAGAUGUUUUGCCACAGCCUUCCUGUUCACAAGGGAAUGGGCGCCUCUCCCCGUGGAAAGAGAGGAUGUGGCUCUGGAGGUUGAACACGGCCGUGUAGGUUCUGCUACAGCCUCCUCUUGGACACCGGCACACGUCCCUUUCUGGGGCGUGGGUUUUCAUGUGCUGCUUAAGAGGGAAGAUCUAAGCAAUGUAUGGAGCAGUGUUUGGAUGUCCUUCCUGGCUGUGCAACCUUCAAAUGCAUCUUUCUGGUCCUCCUAGAGAUGGUGAGAGUUAAGGCACUUAAUCAUGUUACUUUUGCUUUGUAAUUUAAAUAGAUUAUGUUGUAUACUAGUAAUAGUCCUGACUGAUAUAUAAUUCUGUAUAUACUUAGAUUAUUCUAAAUUUGUAUAUGAGAUAUUUAAUGCCCAUGUUAACUGAAAAUUAGAAUGUAUCAUCUUUUCCUACAAAAUCCGUUCAAGAUUUUCUAAGAGUUUUUGAUGGGAAAAUGAGGAGUAACAGGAAUCAGUCUUUACAUGUAUAUUUCCAUCUGUCUUUACAUUACAGCUUAUAAAUGAAGACAAGAUGCUACAGAGGCACUGAGAGCUUGUUGUAGACAUGACAUGCUGGUCAACUCCACUUAUGCUACAACAGGCUCCAUCUUAACCAGCACUAACAGAAGUUAAGAAAACCACAGUGGGAUGCAUUAGUUAAGUCUUCACAAAAAAGAAAAGAAAGAUCAGAAAUCCAAACGGGGCAGCUGGGAUGAAAUUGGGAUACUUGUUUUUGUUUUGCCAUUUUUUCAUAGGAGACAAAUAUAAAUUGGGUAUAACUAAGCCAGUAUCUGCUGAUACCAUGAUUUCAGAUAUAAAUAUGCAGUGCAGUCUUUUCCCUUCACUAUUUCCUGUUUUUUUUCACUUAGGUUGUUUCCUUAUAGCUUUAUCAUCUCUUCUAUUCUAAAAAAUAAGGCAAUAAGAAGAGUGUUUAUAAGGUGUCUGCAUCUAUUUAACAUUCAGUUGGAAUUUUAAUCAUUUUUAACCUUCUGUGCUAUUUUAUUCCAAUAUUAAAUUUCUCUGUUGGGUAAAACUUGGAAAAGUUAAAAAACAAAAACAAUAAAAAAAACC
Molecule: long non-coding RNA, 1446 nt
Filed under: Vulpes vulpes (red fox)
Lineage: Eukaryota; Metazoa; Chordata; Mammalia; Carnivora; Canidae
Description: lncRNA (ENSVVUG00000006268.1)
Source: RNAcentral